AGAGUUUGAUCCUGGCUCAGGACGAACGCUGGCGGCGUGCCUAACACAUGCAAGUCGAACGAAGUAUGUUUUUCGGAAUAUACUUAGUGGCGGACGGGUGAGUAACGCGUGAACAAUCUGCCCUAUACAAAGGAAUAGCCUCGGGAAACUGGGAUUAAAACCGUAUAACACUUAAGCACCGCAUGGUGCAUAAGUCAAAUUGAUUAAGAGGUAUAGGAUGAGUUCGCGUCUGAUUAGCUAGUUGGUGAGGUAAUGGCUCACCAAGGCGACGAUCAGUAGCCGGCCUGAGAGGGUGAACGGCCACACUGGAACUGAGACACGGUCCAGACUCCUACGGGAGGCAGCAGUGGGGAAUAUUGCACAAUGGGCGAAAGCCUGAUGCAGCGACGCCGCGUGAGUGAAGAAGGUCUUCGGAUCGUAAAACUCUGUCCUUGGUGAAGAAAAAAAUGACGGUAGCCAAGGAGGAAGCCCCGGCUAACUACGUGCCAGCAGCCGCGGUAAUACGUAGGGGGCGAGCGUUGUCCGGAUUUACUGGGCGUAAAGGGUGAGUAGGCGGUUGUAUAUGUCAGAUGUAAAAGGCUAUGGCUUAACUAUAGUAAGCAUUUGAAACUGUACAACUUGAGUGCAGGAGAGGUAAGUGGAAUUCCUAGUGUAGCGGUGAAAUGCGUAGAUAUUAGGAGGAACACCAGUGGCGAAGGCG
This 700-nucleotide ribosomal RNA is filed under the name uncultured bacterium. RNAcentral describes it as "bacterial SSU rRNA". It matches the Rfam family "Bacterial small subunit ribosomal RNA", at positions 8 to 723 of the family's 1533-position model. The record is from RNAcentral.